RNAcentral lists this unclassified non-coding RNA (1071 nucleotides) under Hevea brasiliensis (rubber tree). Lineage: Eukaryota; Viridiplantae; Streptophyta; Magnoliopsida; Malpighiales; Euphorbiaceae. The record is from RNAcentral.
UCUAAACGUAAGCCCAGCUGUAGAGAGAAAAAUGGCCCAAUCACUUGGCCCAACGACCUGUAGUUUAAUAGUCACAGGCUUUCCCUCAUUAGAAGUUCAGUCCCAAGUUCACCAUCCCAUCUCUUUCCCUUGAAUUCUCUCAAAUCCUCACCAACAAUUCCACCAACAGUGUUCUGGAAUCAAGUGCACUUGAAGAAUGCGCUCUCCACUGAGAACAUUUGAAUACUUCGAAUGUGGACAGACAUGCCUAUAUUUCCCUUGGCAAUCGUUGUUGUUCAAGUGAAACCCAUUAACUUUGGGGAAAGAAUGGCCAUGGAAGCAAAUUCCUCACUCUCAUGCCAUUUCUUCCUGUGUGAUUUGAGUCGCUUCAUCAAGUUCAGAAAACUCUUCAAGAUCAUGGAGGCAUUUGAAUGGGAACUAGCUCUUCUGCGUUUUCCAUCACUUGUGUCGAAAAUAACAGAUCAAGUCCAAUGGUAUCUUCAUUUGCUUCUUGAGAUAAAGAGAAAGGAUCCAUUCUAACGAAUGAAUCACCCCUAAUCAAUCUAUCAGUGGCUUUCUAUAGAUGGUAAGAGGGAAGUACAAAAACCUUGAACUAGAUGUGUGUGUGUGUGAUUAAGUUCCUCUUAUACUAAUUAGAUAUCAAAUGAAAGGUCACCGUUGUUAAAUUUAACCUUAUCUAUAAAUUUCGAAUUUCAAUUCAUAGUGCAAGGAGUAAGUUGAUAAAGAUAUUCGCAUAUGUGUGUCGGUCUCUCUCUCUAGUUGAUAGAGAGAAAAAGUUCUUUCUGGAUUGGGUUUAGUUUGUAAGACAGAAAGUUUCUUUCUUUGUCAGUGUUUACGGUCAUCCCCUGCCUCCGAACAUAGGUUUUCCUUCUACUCCUUUAGAUGGGACUGUACAUAUAUGUUUUGGGUUGUUUCUUGUUGCUUGCAGGUGGUGUUGCUCAUGGUGAAGGAAAUCUUGCAACCUGCACAGCUCUUUUUCGGUGCUUAAGUGUUUUUCCUUGUUUCUUAUGUGGCUACGGGCGUACGGCUUCAUCAGAGUCCUUACUCACCUUGUAGUGGCCGACUCUCAAU